Molecule: unclassified non-coding RNA, 213 nt
Filed under: Hevea brasiliensis (rubber tree)
Lineage: Eukaryota; Viridiplantae; Streptophyta; Magnoliopsida; Malpighiales; Euphorbiaceae
Source: RNAcentral
UAGCUUUCUAGUCUCCAACUCUUUUUCCUUUGAUUUUGUUUGGAGGCAUGUACUCUCAGCCUCUUUUGCUUUUGAUUUCUCUUCCAGUUUCUUAGAAAACUCUUUCCUUUUCUCUGCCCUUUCAUCACUUUUCAAGCCAAAAGAAGAUGGGGCUGCCUUAGCAGUUUUUUUAUCCAUAUUAGCUGCUUUGAAAGACCCUGCAUUCUCUUUUCG